GACGAACGCUGGCGGCGUGCUUAACACAUGCAAGUCGAGCGGUAAGGCCCUUUCGGGGGUACGACGAGCGGCGAACGGGUAGGAGUAACACGUGGGUGGACCUGCCCUCCAGCUCUGGGAGUAGGCCUGGGAAACGUAGGGUCGUAAUACUGGAUAUGACUCCACGGUGCAUGUCGUGGGGUGGAAAGCCUUGUGCGGCUGAGGAUGGGCCCGCCGGCCUAUCAGCUUGUUGGUGGGGUGGAUGGCCUACCAAGGCGACGACGGGUAGCCGGCCUGAGAGGG
This 282-nucleotide ribosomal RNA is filed under the name uncultured bacterium. Its description in RNAcentral is "partial 16S ribosomal RNA". It matches the Rfam family "Bacterial small subunit ribosomal RNA", at positions 28 to 300 of the family's 1533-position model. The record is from RNAcentral.